RNAcentral lists this transfer RNA (50 nucleotides) under Diximermis spiculatus. Its description in RNAcentral is "tRNA-Phe". The record is from RNAcentral. Lineage: Eukaryota; Metazoa; Nematoda; Enoplea; Mermithida; Mermithidae.
UCAUCAUUCCCAUUAAAUUGAAAAUUUAAUUAUUAAAUAUGACUGUAAAA